ACACACAUACACACACACACACACACACACACACAUAUAUAUAUAUAUAUAUAUAGAGUCCGGCUAUUAUGCUAUUAAUAGCACGAAGCACUUUAUGCUACCAAGUUUUCCACCAUUAGAUCUACCAUUUUGAUUAUUUUCAUCCGUUAGAUCAUACUAUUCAACAAACCACCCACUAAACCCUAGGGGGCCCACAUCAUCCUAACUACACAUCUCUUAAUCCAAUGGCUCAAAACUUGGUAGUACAAAGUGCUUGGUGCUAUUAAUAGCAUAGUAGCCUAGUUCUAUAUAUAUAUACACAACAAUAAAAACAAAAGCAAUAGUACAACCAUA
RNAcentral lists this long non-coding RNA (333 nucleotides) under Ananas comosus (pineapple). RNAcentral describes it as "long non-coding RNA (ACOM_LNC042575)". Lineage: Eukaryota; Viridiplantae; Streptophyta; Magnoliopsida; Poales; Bromeliaceae. The record is from RNAcentral.